This 1581-nucleotide long non-coding RNA is filed under the name Homo sapiens (human). RNAcentral's name for it is "HSALNT0330046". Lineage: Eukaryota; Metazoa; Chordata; Mammalia; Primates; Hominidae. The record is from RNAcentral.
UGUUCUCUGUUUUGUGGGCUGAAUAUUUUUGAGCAGGGAUGGCAUUAUUUAGAGCUUUUUAUUGGUAGCCUACUGAGUGCUCAAACCUGUGCUAGUCCCUAUAGGGAAUAUGGAAAGACUUCUUGGAGCCAUUAUUAUGCUAGUGUCCAUUGUGAUGCUCCUGGCAAGGGCAUUCUCCUAUUCCUAUGACCACAGAGCUUCCCCUUCCCCUUUGCCCUGAAGAUUCUCUCAUGGGACUAGUGUUUCAUUGAAUAACAUGUUGGUUAUGUGUAGCAUGCUGGUUACGUGUAGCAUGCUGGUUAUGUGUAGCAUGCUGGUUAUGUGUGGCAUGCUGGUUACGUGUAGUGUGCUGGUUACGCGUAGCAUCCUGGUUAUGUGAGGCAUGCUGGUUAGGAGCUCUAGGCUCAGGAUCUUGAUUCUGCCCUCUUUGGUUGCAUGAGCUGUGCAAGCUGCUUAACAUCUUUCAGGCUAACUUUCUAUAUUUGUAAAAUGGGAAACAGACUUCUUAGGAAGAUUUUAAGAGAUGUCUUACAGGACCUGGCAGAUAUAUGCUCAAUAAAAAGUAAACUAGCUGGUGUUGCUGCUGUUGCUCUUACUGUUGUUUUUAUUGACUUGAAUAAAGGAAUCUUGCACCUGUCAAAAUGAAACACUACAUAGUAGGUCCUGAUAUUUUGCCAUACUCAGCUGGUGAUAAGAAUCAGAGAAGCCAGCCAUUUGAAUAACUAUGAUUUAUUGAAUUCUUACCAUGUUCUAAGUUCUUUAUGUAUACUGUUUCGUUUAAUCUUCACAACAAUUCUAGGAGUCAGGUUCAAUUGUUAUUGCCAUUUGAUAGAUGAUGAGGGCAAUGAGUCUUAGAGAGGUUAAAUAAUUUGCUAAAGGCCACACAGCCUGUAAAGUGGCAGAAGCUGGGACCAUCCAACUCUAAAGCCCACAUUCUUAGACAUUAGGGGAUAUUGAAUGAAGUGUGUGUAUGUAUGGGGGAAUUUAAGAGAAUAUCAAACCAUUUGUAGAGUUCUACCCAAUAUAGAGACCUUAUCUAAUGUAAGAGAACUCUGAAGACAUCUCAUUGAUUGAAUGCUCUCCCCUUCAUAGCAACUUCUUCUGCGGCUUCCUUGCCUGGUGCUCCAGUCUUUGAGGGAAGCACGGCUGGCACGUUCUUCCGUUUGGAGACAUGGUUGACAAUUUCUCCAUAAUGGGGACACAACUGGCAAUUUUCCUACAGAGUGAGGCAGAUGGCAAUUUUCCUUCAGAGACAUGCAGGCAACAGUUUUGCCCCUGGAGAGAAAAGCCUCGCCGAUUGAGAUGCAGCCAGUAAUUUUUACUAUACAGAAGACACAUCCAAUAAUUUUGCCCAGUGAGAGAAACGGCCAACAAUUUUCCCACAGAGGACAGGAAAAACAGACCAAAAAUUCAUAGUGGGGAGAAGUGAGGAGCAAAUGGGCUGGUAUGACCAAGAAAGACUUAAUAAGAAGCUGAGCCUUAAAUGAUCAAGAAGCACUGGAUAGAUAAGAGCACUGUUCACAAUAGCCAAGAUUUGGAAGCAACCUAAGUGUUCACCAACUGAUGAAUGGAUAAAGAAAA